RNAcentral lists this ribosomal RNA (372 nucleotides) under uncultured organism. Its description in RNAcentral is "partial 16S ribosomal RNA". It matches the Rfam family "Bacterial small subunit ribosomal RNA", at positions 527 to 896 of the family's 1533-position model. The record is from RNAcentral.
GAACCGUCCAAACGUUAUUCGGAAUUACUGGGCUUAAAGGGUGCGUAGGCGGCUUGGCAAGUUGGGUGUGAAAUCCCUCGGCUCAACCGAGGAACUGCGCUCAAAACUGCCAAGCUAGAGGAAGAUAGAGGUGAGCGGAACUAAUGGUGGAGCGGUGAAAUGCGUUGAUAUCAUUAGGAACACCUGUGGCGAAAGCGGCUCACUGGAUCUUUUCUGACGCUGAGGCACGAAAGCUAGGGGUAGCGAACGGGAUUAGAUACCCCGGUAGUCCUAGCCGUAAACGAUGAGCACUAGGUUGGAGGCUCCUUCAUAGGCUUCCGACCGAAGCGAAAGUGUUAAGUGCUCCGCCUGGGGAGUAUGGUCGCAAGGCUG